This 337-nucleotide unclassified non-coding RNA is filed under the name soil metagenome. RNAcentral's name for it is "partial contains 5.8S ribosomal RNA, internal transcribed spacer 2, and large subunit ribosomal RNA". The stretch from base 1 to 120 matches the Rfam family "5.8S ribosomal RNA", at positions 35 to 154 of the family's 154-position model. The record is from RNAcentral.
GAUGAAGAACGUAGCGAAAUGCGAUAAGUAGUGUGAAUUGCAGAAUUCAGUGAAUCAUCGAAUCUUUGAACGCACAUUGCGCCCCUUGGUAUUCCAUGGGGCAUGCCUGUUCGAGCGUCAUUCGUACCUUCAAGCUCUGCUUGGUGUUGGGUGUUUGUCUCGCCUCUGCGUGUAGACUCGCCUCAAAACAAUUGGCAGCCGGCGUAUUGAUUUCGGAGCGCAGUACAUCUCGCGCUUUGCACUCAUAACGACGACGUCCAAAAGUACAUUUUUACACUCUUGACCUCGGAUCAGGUAGGGAUACCCGCUGAACUUAAGCAUAUCAAUAAGCGGAGGA